Rattus norvegicus (Norway rat) is the source of this 107-nucleotide small nuclear RNA. NCBI's taxonomy places the organism in Eukaryota, Metazoa, Chordata, Mammalia, Rodentia, Muridae. The record is from Ensembl.
GUGCUCGCUUCAGCAGCACAUAUACUAAAAUUGGAACGAUACAGAGAAGAUUAGCAUUGUCCCUGCGCUAGGAUGACACAUGAAUUCGUGAAGCGGUCCAUAUUUCC